GAGGUAGAGCAAAUCUCAAAAAAACAANCUCAGUUCAGACUGCAGGCUGCAACUCGCCUGCACGAAGUCGGAAUUGCUAGUAAUCGUAGGUCAGCAUACUACGGUGAAUACGUUCCCGGGCCUUGUACACACCGCCCGUCAAACCAUGAGAGUUGGCAACACCCGAAGUCGGUAGUCUAACCGCAAGGAGGACGCCGCCGAAGGUGGGGUUGAUGAUUAGGGUUAAGUCGUAACAAGGUAAC
RNAcentral lists this ribosomal RNA (242 nucleotides) under uncultured bacterium. RNAcentral describes it as "partial 16S ribosomal RNA". It matches the Rfam family "Bacterial small subunit ribosomal RNA", at positions 1259 to 1500 of the family's 1533-position model. The record is from RNAcentral.